UACGGCGAGGGAGAGGGAAGAGCUCAAAUUUUAAAUCUGGCGCCUUCGGUGUUYGAGUUGUAAUCUAUAGAAGUGUUUUCCGCGGUGGACCGUGUACAAGUUUCCUGGAACGGUACGUCAUAGAGGGUGAGAAUCCCGUAUGUGGCACGGACUCCCAUUGCUAUGUGAUACACUCUCAACGAGUCGAGUUGUUUGGGAAUGCAGCUCAAAGUGGGUGGUAAAUUCCAUCUAAAGCUAAAUAUUGGCGAGAGACCGAUAGCGAACAAGUACCGUGAGGGAAAGAUGAAAAGCACUUUGGAAAGAGAGUGAAACAGUACGUGAAAUUGUUAAAAGGGAAACGCUUGAAGUCAGUCGCGCCUCUUGGGAUUCAGCCUUACUUCUGUUUGGUGUACUUCCUGUUGGGCGGGUCAACGUCAGUUUUGAUCGAGGGAAAAAGGGGUUAGAAAUGUGGCCGUCUUCGGGUGGUGUUAUAGUCUUUCCUUGUAUGCCUCGGUUUGGGACUGAGGACCGCAGCGCGCCUUUUGGCCGGGGUUCGCCCACGUACGCGCUUAGGAUGUUGGCAUAAUGGCUUUAAGCGACCCGUCUUGAAACACGGACCAAGGAGUCUAACAUGUGCGCGAGUGUUUGGGUGUUAAACUCGGACGCGUAAUGAAAGUGAAAAGUUGGGAUCAUUUUAUGUGCACCGACGCCCGGAGCUGACCUUCUGUGACGCAUCCGCGGUAGAGCGUAUAUGUUGGGACCCGAAAGAUGGUGAACUAUGCCUGAAUAGGGUGAAGCCAGAGGAAACUCUGGUGGAGGCUCGUANCGAUUCUGACGUGCAAAUCGAUCGUCAA
Molecule: ribosomal RNA, 833 nt
Filed under: uncultured Sebacinales
Lineage: Eukaryota; Fungi; Basidiomycota; Agaricomycetes; Sebacinales
Description: eukaryotic LSU rRNA
Rfam family: Eukaryotic large subunit ribosomal RNA
Source: RNAcentral